This 518-nucleotide ribosomal RNA is filed under the name uncultured Bacteroidota bacterium. RNAcentral's name for it is "bacterial SSU rRNA". It matches the Rfam family "Bacterial small subunit ribosomal RNA", at positions 122 to 639 of the family's 1533-position model. Lineage: Bacteria; Pseudomonadati; Bacteroidota. The record is from RNAcentral.
CAACCUGCCGAUAACUCUGGGAUAGCCUUUCGAAAGAAAGACUAAUACCGGAUGGCAUAGGAUUAUCGCAUGAUAAUCCUAUUAAAGAAUUUCGGUUAUCGAUGGGGAUGCGUUCCAUUAGGCAGUUGGUGAGGUAACGGCUCACCAAACCUUCGAUGGAUAGGGGUUCUGAGAGGAAGGUCCCCCACAUUGGAACUGAGACACGGUCCAAACUCCUACGGGAGGCAGCAGUGAGGAAUAUUGGUCAAUGGACGGGAGUCUGAACCAGCCAAGUAGCGUGAAGGAUGACUGCCCUAUGGGUUGUAAACUUCUUUUAUACGGGAAUAAAGUGAUCCACGUGUGGAUUUUUGUAUGUACCGUAUGAAUAAGGAUCGGCUAACUCCGUGCCAGCGGCCGCGGUAAUACGGAGGAUCCGAGCGUUAUCCGGAUUUAUUGGGUUUAAAGGGAGCGUAGGUGGAUUGUUAAGUCAGUUGUGAAAGUUUGCGGCUCAACCGUAAAAUUGCAGUUGAUACUGGCAG